Molecule: non-coding RNA, 66 nt
Organism: Podarcis lilfordi (Lilford's wall lizard)
Lineage: Eukaryota; Metazoa; Chordata; Lepidosauria; Squamata; Lacertidae
Source: the annotation of a GenBank genome assembly
GAUAGCUCAGUCGGAAGAGCACAAGACUUAAUCUCAGGGUUGUGGGUUCAAGUCCCACAUCGGACA